RNAcentral lists this non-coding RNA (189 nucleotides) under Escherichia coli. The record is from RNAcentral. Lineage: Bacteria; Pseudomonadati; Pseudomonadota; Gammaproteobacteria; Enterobacterales; Enterobacteriaceae.
AUGAAAAUUAACUUACUACGGGGCUAUCUUCUUUCUGCCACACAACACGGCAACAAACCACCUUCACGUCAUGAGGCAGAAAGCCUCAAGCGCCGGGCACAUCAUAGCCCAUAUACCUGCACGCUGACCACACUCACUUUCCCUGAAAAUAAUCCGCUCAUUCAGACCGUUCACGGGAAAUCCGUGUGA